This 2807-nucleotide unclassified non-coding RNA is filed under the name Centruroides sculpturatus (bark scorpion). RNAcentral describes it as "fK506-binding protein 15-like, transcript variant X4". The record is from RNAcentral. Lineage: Eukaryota; Metazoa; Arthropoda; Arachnida; Scorpiones; Buthidae.
UGACUUUUAAUUCAGAUUUUGUUUGUGUACUAAUAUAUUAAAAUUUUUCCAGAUGUUUGAUUCAAAUGAAAAUUCCGAUAAAUUUCUCAGGCUGAAGUUGGGGAAAGGAAAAGUAAUCAAGGGUUUGGAAGAAGGACUUGUAGGAGUUCGUAAAAAUUGCAGGCGUCUAGUUAUUGUUCCUCCUCAUCUUGGUUAUGAUAGUCAAGAAAUGAGCAAAAUUCCACCAAAAUCAACUUUAAUAUUUGAAGUUUUUGUAAAUAAAGUGAAAUUUGGGAAAGAAACCUCUCGGUCAUCCACGCCUUCAGUUAAUGAAGUCGAUUCUGGAAGCGAGAUAAAGAAGAGAGAUUCAAUAUCCACUAAAACCCACUCACCCAGUAUAGGAAGUGAAGAUUCAAUAAGAGCAAGAGGAGUUUCCAUUUCAGAACAGUUGUCUCAGAGCCCAAAGGAUGAAAAAGCAAAAAUAAUAUCUCGGAUGGCUAAAAUGGGAAUGUCUCUGUUACCGAAACAAAUUGGUGGAACCAGUCAGCAAAGCAGUGAAUCUGAAACAGACGAAGAAAUACAUUCUAAAGCAAGAAGCUCUCCAGUUACAAGUCAAGAAAAUUUGACAAGAGAACAAUCUCCAAAACCAGUACCAAAACCUAGAAGCACAUCGAAUGCAACUAGUUUUCAGCAACCAAAUCAACCUGCACCAGCACCAGUAACACAACAAAUGGCUGUUAUGCAACCUCCACAAUAUUUACCAAAUAACGUUUAUCCAUUUCCAUAUUCUGCAUCAACUGUGCCAUUUAAUGUGCUUCAACAACCGUUUCCAAAUCAUGCGAUUGCUACUGGUUCUCCCGCCGUAAUGACGAGUAUUGCUGACACUCAUCUUCCGUUGUUGUUGUCCGAGACCAGGACUCAAAAUACAGAAGUCAGACUUGCAUUAGGAAAGAUUACAGAGAAAGUAGACGUAGUCUUACAUAAGUUAGAUGACGUAAAACAUCAGUCAGCAUUUUCUGGACAAAUUCCAUAUCUUGAAUCGUCUGUAUUAUUGCAGAAUAUCCAAAGAAUAGUACAGGAGAAUAAUAAAUUAAAACAGGAAAUUGAUGAAAAGAGUGGAAAAAUUCAAAGUUUAAAUGAAAAAAUAUGUGAUUUAUUACAAAGAAAUCAAAGGUUUAUUGAAGAAAGCAACAGUAUGCUUGAACAAAGAAGCGAUUCCUUACAUUCCACGGCCUCUCAGUCUCAUGCUAGACUUUUAACUCUUGAACAAGAGAGAAUAAAACUUUCGUCUGAGCUCGCCGAAACAAUAUCUAAAGUGAGCGAAUUGCAGUUGGAACUCUCUGCUCGACAGCAACAGGAAAUAGAUUUAAAGAACAAACUUCAAACUGCAACAUACAACAGUCAGAAACAAAAGGAUGAAACAGAAUCUUUUAAGCUCAAAAUACAAGAACAAGAAGUUUUAAUUACUACAUUGCAGCAAAAUUUAAAAGAAAUUAGACAAGAAAAAAGAGAUUUGGAGAAAAAGUUAGAAAACUUGGAAGAAACUAUUGAAGAUUUUAAAAGUACAAAAGAAAUGCUUGAAAAGAGUUUGACUGAUAAAAAGAAACAGAUUCAAGAUGAACGAAUAAAAGCUGAAAAUGCAAUAGAGGAAACUCGGACAUCUUAUGAGAAAGAAAUUGAAAUGAUUCGGAAUAAAUAUCUCAAUAAAAGACCGGUGCCUUCUUCUGAGCAGGUAACAGAAAUUGAAGAUAUAGAAUCAAAGUGGAAAAAAAGAAGUGAACAAAUGAUUUUGGAAACUGCAGAAAAAUACAAAGAAGAAAUAGAAGUUCUCAAUAAAGAAAAAAUCAUGUUAGAAUGCAAAUUGAAGGAGAUAGAAAGUAAAUUAGAAAAAUCUAGAACGAAUCAAUCUUCAGAAAGAGAUCGGAUAUUUCAACUAGAAGAAGAAAUAGAAAAUUUGAAAGAAUGGAAACUUAAAUAUGAAUUGCUGGGUAAUAGUUCAGAAACAAUGAAGAAACAGUAUGAAGAGCAAAUAAAAGAACUUACAAGACUAUUAAAUCAAGGAGGUAGUUUUGCAGAAAGUAGUGUGAAGUUUUCCAGUGAGCUGAAAACAGCAAUGAACAGGUUAUAUCGUUGUCUCCAAACUGAAUUUCAUCCAGAAAAUUCUUACAGUGGAACACAAAUUAGACAAGUAGCUUUAAAUACAAUUCGGGCUGUAACCUUUGAAUUAAUAGAAGCUAAACAAACAGUUCCUGUUUCAAGAGAUGAACCAGAUAAAACAGAGAUAAAAAGUAAUGAAGAGACAGUUCAGAAGCAAAUGCCUGAUAAUGAAGUUAGUCAUUCUGAAAAUAACGGUAAUCAGAUAUCAUCUGAAACUGAAGCUUCAAAGGAAACUGAAAAUGAUACUCCAGUUUCAACUGUUCCUAUUGAAGACAAUUCAAAAUUAGAAGAUAACAUCACUAGUCAAACAAAAAUUGAUAGUAGUAAUGUAGAAUCAGUCAGUGAAACUUUAAAUCAAAAUGAUGAUUCCUCCAAAUUGGACAAAACAGAAGUUGAAGUUGUAAAUUCUAAUGAUGUACUUAAAGAAAAUGAAAUGGCAGUAAAAGCAGAUCAGUUUGAAAAUGAAGAAGACAAAUCAGGCCCAGACACAACAUUCUGCCUCCCCUGAUAAUUCAGAUAGUGGGGAGGACACCUCUUCCAAGCAAUAUCUCUUUUUUGACAACAAAUCCAAGCUUUUCCUUCGAGUGACUACACUCUUACUCCACGAUCCCAUGUGGAGAUCUGCAGUUAGGGCCGCAUUGUGUCUCUUUGUGCUCGGAAUAAUCAUCUUG